Molecule: ribosomal RNA, 374 nt
Filed under: uncultured microorganism
Description: bacterial SSU rRNA
Rfam family: Bacterial small subunit ribosomal RNA
Source: RNAcentral
GUAGUUUGAUCGUGGCUCAGAUUGAACGCUGGCGGCAGGCCUAACACAUGCAAGUCGAGCGGAUGAAGGUAGCUUUGCUCCUGGAUUCUAGCGGCGGACGGGUGAGUAAUGGCCUAGGAAUCUGCCUGGUAGUGGGGAUAAACGUCCGGGAAACGGGCGCUAAUACCGCAUACGUCCUGAGGGAGAAAGUGGGGGAUCUUCGGACCUCACGCUAUCAGACGAGCCUAGGUCGGAUUAGCUAGUUGGUGGGGUAAAGGCCUACCAAGGCGACGAUCCGUAACUGGUCUGAGAGGAUGAUCAGUCACACUGGAACUGAGACACGGUCCAGACUCCUACGGGAGGCAGCAGUGGGGAAUAUUGGACAAUGGGCGAAA